This 484-nucleotide ribosomal RNA is filed under the name uncultured bacterium. RNAcentral describes it as "partial 16S ribosomal RNA". It matches the Rfam family "Bacterial small subunit ribosomal RNA", at positions 30 to 507 of the family's 1533-position model. The record is from RNAcentral.
AUUGAACGCUGGCGGCAGGCCUAACACAUGCAAGUCGAGCGGAUGAAGGGAGCUUGCUCCUGGAUUCAGCGGCGGACGGGUGAGUAAUGCCUAGGAAUCUGCCUGGUUGUGGGGGAUAACGUCCGGACACGGGCGCUAAUACCGCAUACGUCCUGAGGGAGAAAGUGGGGGAGCUUCGGACCUUCCGCUCUCAGAUGAGCCUAGGUCGGAUUAGCUAGUUGGUGGGGUAAAGGCCUACCAAGGCGACGAUCCGUAACUGGUCUGAGAGGAUGAUCAGUCACACUGGAACUGAGACACGGUCCAGACUCCUACGGGAGGCAGCAGUGGGGAAUAUUGGACAAUGGGCGAAAGCCUGAUCCAGCCAUGCCGCGUGUGUGAAGAAGGUCUUCGGAUUGUAAAGCACUUUAAGUUGGGAGGAAGGGCAGUAAGUUAAUACCUUGCUGUUUUGACGUUACCAACAGAAUAAGCACCGGCUAACUUCGUG